GAUUGCAGGCUGCAACCCGCCCUGCAUGAAGUCGGAAUUGCUAGUAAUCGCGGAUCAGCAUGCCGCGGUGAAUACGUUCCCGGGGCCUUGUACACACCGCCCGUCACACCAUGGGAGCCGGUAAUACCCGAAGUCAGUAGUCCAACCUCGUGAGGACGCUGCCGAAGGUAGGAUUGGCGACUGGGGUGAAGUCGUAACAAGGUACC
RNAcentral lists this ribosomal RNA (206 nucleotides) under uncultured bacterium. RNAcentral describes it as "partial 16S ribosomal RNA". It matches the Rfam family "Bacterial small subunit ribosomal RNA", at positions 1296 to 1500 of the family's 1533-position model. The record is from RNAcentral.